This 790-nucleotide non-coding RNA is filed under the name Cryptosporidium parvum. Lineage: Eukaryota; Apicomplexa; Conoidasida; Eucoccidiorida; Cryptosporidiidae. The record is from RNAcentral.
AUGCAAAAAACAGCUUAACUAUUAAACGCGCAAAAUAAGUGGAAAAAAAGGGGAGAAAUAGUUAAAAUGAUAUUAAGCGUUUAUAUGAAAUUAGAAUAAAAAAUAAAAACUGAAAAUAUACACAUGUUUGAUAUGUUAACAAAUAUAUAUAGUGAGAGAAUUAUUUUUUUUUAUUUGAUGUUCUACGGCUCAACAAGGCUUGAGCCUCAAUAAGUUCAACCUUUAAUUCGUUAAUUAGCUUAGAAUCUCCUGGUGAAUCAGCUUCUAAUGUUUUUAUUUGACUUUCUAGAGCUGUAACUAGUAGUUCAUAAAGUUUGCUUUCCUCCAUUUUAAUUAAAUUUGAAUAACAUGGCUUGUUUUCUUUGGGUCUUAAAUCAUGGGCAUUACCCUUUGAGUCUCUGAAAACACCAAUAUACUCAGAUAGCUGGUAAACCUUUGAAAAUCCAUCUUCAUCAACAUCAGGAGCUUCUUCCCAAUCAUCGAUAGAAACGAGCCUUAGAUUUCUUUCCUUAAGUAGUGCUUGGUAAUCAGUAUCUGGUGGAGGCCAAUCUGGGAGUGCAUGCCACCAUCUACAUAAAAUGGCAGCAACUAAUAUUUGCUUAUGGUCACGAUCUCUUCGAGGAACAUAAGCAGUAUUUUCUUCUUCGUCAGAAGAACAGUCUUGAGAAUUCGGAUCUUUUUCUACAGAAACUCGCUUCUUUUUAACAACAGAUUUUGUUUUAUUUCCAGUAUUACCUUUUGCCUUAGAUUUAGUUUUAGAACCUACAUUAGAUUUAGACUUAGUAGAAGC